RNAcentral lists this ribosomal RNA (235 nucleotides) under uncultured bacterium. RNAcentral's name for it is "partial 16S ribosomal RNA". It matches the Rfam family "Bacterial small subunit ribosomal RNA", at positions 99 to 334 of the family's 1533-position model. The record is from RNAcentral.
CGGACGGGUGAGUAACGCGUGGGUAACCUACCCUGUGCACACGGAUAACAUACCGAAAGGUAUGCUAAUACGGGAUAAUAUACUUGAGAGGCAUCUCUUGAAUAUCAAAGGUGAGCCAGUACAGGAUGGACCCGCGUCUGAUUAGCUAGUUGGUAAGGUAACGGCUUACCAAGGCGACGAUCAGUAGCCGACCUGAGAGGGUGAUCGGCCACAUUGGAACUGAGACACGGUCCAA